AGUGAACGCUGGCGGUAGGCCUAACACAUGCAAGUCGAACGGCAGCACAGUAAGAGCUUGCUCUUACGGGUGGCGAGUGGCGGACGGGUGAGGAAUACAUCGGAAUCUACUUUUUCGUGGGGGAUAACGUAGGGAAACUUACGCUAAUACCGCAUACGACCUACGGGUGCAAGCAGGGGAUCUUCGGACCUUGCGCGAUUGAAUGAGCCGAUGUCGGAUUAGCUAGUUGGCGGGGUAAAGGCCCACCAAGGCGACGAUCCGUAGCUGGUCUGAGAGGAUGAUCAGCCACACUGGAACUGAGACACGGUCCAGACUCCUACGGGAGGCAGCAGUGGGGAAUAUUGGACAAUGGGCGCAAGCCUGAUCCAGCCAUACCGCGUGGGUGAAGAAGGCCUUCGGGUUGUAAAGCCCUUUUGUUGGGAAAGAAAAGCAGCAGGUGAAUACCCCGCUGUUCUGACGGUACCCAAAGAAUAAGCACCGGCUAACUUCGUG
This 492-nucleotide ribosomal RNA is filed under the name uncultured bacterium. Its description in RNAcentral is "partial 16S ribosomal RNA". It matches the Rfam family "Bacterial small subunit ribosomal RNA", at positions 29 to 507 of the family's 1533-position model. The record is from RNAcentral.